Oncorhynchus tshawytscha (Chinook salmon) is the source of this 8176-nucleotide long non-coding RNA. NCBI's taxonomy places the organism in Eukaryota, Metazoa, Chordata, Actinopteri, Salmoniformes, Salmonidae. The record is from Ensembl.
GAGGGGGUCAGGGUGUUCCUGGAACACACUUCUCUCCUCCCUCGUUCUGUCCUUCUUUCCCUCACUCCCAUCUUCACUGCAGCCUACUUUAAUAGGAGACUGCUGUUUCAUUUUUUCCUGCACUUUUCUGAUCAAAGCCAAUAUAAGAAACCAUUACCAGGAAGAGACAGGAGUGUCUCUCUCUCUCUCUCUCUCUGUAGGACACACUGUAGCAGUCUAGGACACCAUGGGCAGUGAACAGAGACCAACAAUAACUACCCACAAUAACUACCUUAUUGUCAUUUUUGGAAAAAUAUGUGAAUGUCACCGAUCCAGAAAAUAUGCUAAGCGCAAUGACAAACAGGUGUAGCUAAAGAGCAUCAGGUUGCUACACAUCAAUGUCACCAACUUGGCCUGCUGAAGGCUCUAUGGCUCAAAUGCCCCUGCUGCAUGUUCUUCAGUCUGUUUAUCAAGUCUGCCAGUCAAAUGUACUCUGAUCUCUUUACUUAAGAAACCAGGACAGAUAAGUGGUUGUUGGAGCAAUAGUGGGCCUUUAACUAGCAACGGUGCGUAGAGAGACGAAUGCAUGCAAUUAUAGAUAUCUUCCCUGGCUUGGUCUGCCUCAGAGUCACACUCACAUUAACCAUCCUCAAACACUUUGUCUGCAUUUCCAUGUGGCUCUUUCCUGCAAGUAGAUUUUUACAAAUGGUUUGUUUCAAUAUGUAACAUGCAUUUUCUUAAACUAAUCUGUAAGUGUUUUGGUUUAUGGCAACCAUUACUGAGGAGGCUGUUUCAGAUUACAUGAUGUAGGUAGUCUCAAGCAACAUUACGCUCUGCGCUGCUCUGACAUAGAUUCUGAAUGUAAGUUGUAGGUGAUGUAAAAGUUCUGGACAUCCUCCCUCUUAAAUGGAUACCACUAGAGAUUGGAUGUCACAUUGCAAGACACCAUAAUAUGACACAUUAGGAAAUAUGCAAAUGAGACUUUACACCCUUAUACCUCAAAUGGAACCAUAUAAACCCCAAAAUAGUGUUGUUUGACGACAUAGGAGUUGAAUUAACUCUUGCGAUUGUAUUGAGCGUAAACGUUACUCUAAAUAAUUAACUCUAGAAUACUGAACAACACUAUUUUGAAUUAAUACUGUACAGAGUGAAACCCAAUGAAGCAGAGUUAAAUAUCAACCCUAAAUUGAGCUUACACAACUCUGAAAAAAUAACUCUAUUGCCAGAGUACGUUUUACAUAAUUUUCUGGUCAAAUCCCAAAACCCUGAGUCUACUUAGGAAAUAGAGGCGUUGUUGAACUCUGCAGAAGACACGGUCUACUUGGACCUUCCAGUUCAGUACAUUGUCCUAGUGUGCACCCAGCUACUUGUACGAACUAAGCUGUGCUGUGUUAGCAUUCUGAACAACCACAGGCACGUGGUUGCCAACAGAUUUGGGGUCAAACACCAUCUCCUCUGUUUUCUUUACAUUGAGGAUAAGAUGGUGCUCAUCACACCACUUGACAAACCUUUGAAUUUCUGACCUGUACACGGUAGUAUCAGCAUCUUUAUACAUCACACCAAGGACGGCCGUAUCCUCAGAAAACUUGACAAUAUAGUCAUUAGGAUUACUGCUGGUGUAUUCAUGUGUGUACAUGAUGAAUAAGAUGGGUGCACUCCCACAACCCUGCGGGCCCCUGUGCUAAUGUCUCUAGCCUCAGAGAGGGUUCUGUUAACACUAACCUGCUGAGUAUUGCUCGUCAGGAAUGAGCGCUACCACCUUAUGAUACAGGAGUUAACACUCGUCUGCUUUAAAACUGACUGAGUAGGACAUGUGGCUGUGUUGUGUUAAACGCUGAAAAUAAAUAACAGGCCUCGGGUUUUCCAGAUGCUUAACAAUGAGAUGCACUAUGGUGUUGAUUGCAUCAUCUUGUCUCACAACUUUUCUUAUAGGCAAAUUACUAAGGAUCUAACACAGGGUUCACAUCUGAAUGGAGCUCGCACACCAUGAUCUUUUUAUUCUUACAGGUGUGCUUGAAGACUCAAAUGACAACUACAGGGUUGAUUUCCAACCUAGGAACACAAUAAUCAAUAACAAUGGAGCCAAUCACAUUAUCACACUCAACAGAGAAGUCAUGUACAUCAAAUCUUGUAUAAAAAAAAACUUUUAAUUCCUUGGCUUUGGUCAGGUCAUCUGGUGUGUGCAAGGAUUUAUUUUGCAGGGUUCAUGUUGCUGAUUGUUCGCAUCGACUCCCACCAUUUUUUGGAGUUCUUUGUAAGGAACUAUUUGUUCCCACUGCUUCCGUGUGUUGUUUCCUUGUCUCUCUGAGCAUUUGGUUGAGCUCCUUUUGCACCCAUUUCAGUUGUUGUUUGUCCUUGUUUUUGAAUGGUUGCCUCUUGCUUCUUGCCUCUUGCAAUUGAUCCAUGUCCUUGACCUCAUUUGUGAUGUAGUGUGUGUUGUUUGGGUAUGACUUUUUGUCUUCUGGCAUAUCAGAGUCAACACAGAAAUGUAUGUAGUUUGUGACAACCUGUGCUGACUUGUGCAUGUCUAACUCGUGAAAAAUGUCCCAAUCUGGACACAGAACAUCCCUUAAGUGAUUCUAUACUGUCCUGCUUCCAGACAUUCACAGAUUUCACAAGGGGUUUACUGCUCCUGAGCUGUAGGUAGGUGGGAAUGAGCUGGACAGUGUUGUGAUCAAGCUAGACAGGGAUGGUUUGGCUCUAGCUGUGUAAAGGAGAUUGAGGAUGUACUGAGAGCUCCAACUGAACAGAGAACCUAGCCGACAAGAAAAGGACGGCUAUGGAAGGAAAAAUACAUUUUCUAUUCAUAGAAAGGUGGUAAUUAAAAAAGGCCUGACUGAGACUGAAAAGUGAGUUGGUUAGGACGAAAACAAGUCAGCAAGGGUGAUGUUCUCCCUCUGUGGAAAGGGUUCUACAUGGAUCCUAAAAGGGUUCUACCUGGAACCAAAAAGGGUUCUUCAAAGCGUUCUCCUAUCUGGACAGCCGAAUAACCUUUUUAGGUUCUACAGUACAUAGUGUAUGUUCACAUAAAUUGCAGCCAAGACUGGAAUUUUCACUUAAUUUCCGUGGCCAUACUUCUUUUCAUAGAUAGAUUGCAUGUCUGCUCAUUUAAUUCUCAAGCCACCAACAUAAUAUUUGAUAGACAUCGUUUACCAACUGGGGUCAUUUUGACCCCAAGAAGAAACUAUUGGAAAAAGCAUCAAUCACAGCAAAAUAUCAACUUAUGUUUUAUCAAAACAUCAUAAAACAUUUGCUACAUGUUAUCUGAAGUAAAAGAUGACCAGAAUAGACUGUUAUUUUAGCAAAAUUACUGUUAAUCAGCAUAUUCUGUCAAACAUAUGUAUGCAUUUUUUUUAAAUAAAAUUUGCAGCUUUUUCCAAAGUACAAUCCACAUUAGCACUAAAAAAGCAAAUUUACCGUAAUUUAAUUAUAGUUACAUUUAGUUUUCAGAAUUUUUAAGUAAAUAUCAAUUGUGUCAUAUUCAUGUAGUCAAAAUUAUCAUAUUUUCGAGGGGCAGUACAGCAACAUUUUAAAUACAUUUUAUUGACAAAAAGUAUUCAAUUAAUUUCAAAAAGUGAUUCUGAGAGACAAUGACCAAACUAUUGCAAAAAGAAUGCCCACAUCUAAGUCACUACAAACCAAAGUAUAUAGCACCAAACAUAUACGUCCAAGUUGCACAUAUAAAAUAUUGGAGGAUAUUAUAGCAAUUCUGGUAUUAAUAUCAUAUUUUCAGUAGAAUAAGUAUUUUUUGGAGAAUACACACCAAUACAACACUGUGUGUACAUUUAGAGGGUAGCUGGUUUUUGUAUUAUUAUUUUAUCAAGUAUUCAUAGCACUGACAUACUUUUAUCAGCUGUUUUGACAACUACUAAGCAUGUAUGUGGUCUUACCUAGUUAUAACCAUUUAUAACCAUAGGCCCUAAAAUAACUACAAUUUCGGGGAAUACACACCAAUACAUCUCUCUAUGUGGAUUCAGAGCCUAUCUGAGUUCUGUAUUUCAGUUCUAUCAAGUAUUGAUAACCUUACCAGACCUUGUAUACCUUUGGCAAAUUUUAUGUAUAAAAAAAUACGGUUAUUUUGGUUUUGUAUACAGUCAUAUGAUGCGUGGUAUAGAAAAGUUACAUCUUAGAGUACAUGGGGAGCUCUGCAGAUGAUCUGUCUAUCUGGUCGAAAUCACUGAUACAGGUCCCCCUCCACCCUCUGGUGGUGUGGUUACCAGGUCCCCCUCCACCCUCUGGUGGUGUGGUUAACAGGUCCCCCUCCACCCUCUGGUGGUGUGGUUAACAGGUCCCCCUCCACCCUCUGGUGGUGUGGUUAACAGGUCCCCCUCCACCCCCUGGUGGUGUGGUUAACAGGUCCCCUUCCACCCUCUGGUGGUGUGGUUAACAGGUCCCCCUCCACCCUCUGGUGGUGUGGUUAACAAGUUCCCCUCCACCCUCUGGUGGUGUGGUUAACAGGUCCCCCUCCACCCUCUGGUGGGUAACUUGUUAUGUCUCCAGAGAAUCCUGGAUUCAAAUAAAGGUCCUAUUUAUCCAAUUAAUAUAGGCAGAAGUAUAUGAGGUCAAAAUUAUCCCAAAUUACUUACAUUUUUAAAUAGUCCAUAUUCAUAGAGAAACACUAAACAAUUAUUUAGAUUUGUUAAGAACAAGUUGAUUGACAAAGUCAUAAAACAUUUUAAAAAUUUAAUAAACAAACUUUGGGCUGUAAUAACAAAAAUAUGCCCCUGGGGUCAAAAUGUGUCACGUUCUGACCUUAGUUCUGUUAUUAUAUAUUUGUUUUAGUAUGGUCAGGGCGUGAGUUGGGUGGCUUGUCUAUGUUCGUUUUUCUAUAAUUUGGGAUUUCUGUGUUCGGCCUAGUAUGGUUCUCAAUCAGAGGCAGCUGUAAAUCGUUGUGUCUGAUUGAGAAUCAUACUUAGGUAGCCUGGGUUUCACUUUUGAGUUGUGGGUGUUUAUUUUCCGUGUUUGUGCCACACGGGACUGGUUUGUUUGUUUCACGUUGUUUGUUUUGUAUUUUGUAGUGUUCAGUUUUCUUAUUAAAUUAUGGACACUUGCCACCCUUCAAAUUGGUCCGAUCUAUCUUACUCCUCAUCAGAGGAAGACGACGAACAUUACAGAAACACCCAACACAAAAGGACCAAGCAGCGUGGUAACGGGCAGCAGCAGCAUCGAUCGCAGGACUCCUAGACUUGGGAGGAGAUUCUGGACGGCAAGGGACCAUGGGCACAAGCUGGAGAAUAUCGCCGCCCCAAGGUUGAGCUGGAGGCAGCGAAAGCCGAGAGGCGGUGGUAUGAGGAGGCAGCACGGCGGCGCGGCUGGAAGCCCGAGAGGCAGCCCCAAACAUUUCUUGGGGGGGAAGCACACGGGGAGUGUGGCGAAGGCAGGUAGGAGACCUGAGCCAACUUCCCGUGCUUACCGGAGAGAGAGAGGGACCGGGCAGGCACCGUGUUAUUCCGUGAGGCGCACGGUGCCCCCGGUGCAUGUGCAUAGCCCGGUGCCGGUACAUCCCAGUGCCUCGUAUCAGCCGGGCUAGAGUGGGCAUCGAGCCGGUCCGCACCUUCACGGUCCGGUCUGUCCGGUGUCACCUCCACGUACCAGCCCUCCGGUGGCAGCCCCCCGCACCAGGCUGUCUCUCUGUCUUCUCCCUACAGGUGCUCCCGCCUGUCCAGCGCUGCCAGAGCCUUCCUCCACUCCAGCGCUGCCAGAGUCUCCCAUCUGUCCUGAGCUGCCAGAGUCUCCCGUCUGUCCUGAGCCGCCAGAGUCUCCCGUCUGUCCUGAGCCGCCAGAGUCUCCCGUCUGUCCUGAGCCGCCAGAGUCUCCCGUCUGUCCUGAGCCGCCAGAGUCUCCCGUCUGUCCUGAGCCACCAGAGUCUCCCGUCUGUCCUGAGCCACCAGAGUCUCCCGUCUGUCCUGAGCCACCAGAGUCUCCCAUCUGUCCUGAGCCACCAGAGCCAACAGAGCCGCCAGUCUGUCCUGAGCCGCCAGAGCCACCAGUCUGUCCUUAGCCACCAGAGCCACCAGUCUGUCCUGAGCCGCCAGUCAGCCAGGAGCUGCCAGAGCCGUCAGUCAGCCAGGGGCUGCCAGAGCCGUCAGUCAGCCAGGAGCUGCCAGAGCCGCCUGUCACUUCGGCGAUGCCAGAAUCGCCCUUCACUCCAGCGCUGCCGGAGUCUCCCGCCUGCCCGGCGCUGCCGGAGUCUCCCGCUGCCGGAGUCCUGUCCGUUCGGGACACGUUGCGAGGGUCCCCAGUCCGAGGUCGGCGGCGAGGGUCGCCGCUCAUAAGAGGCCAAGGGGGGGUUGAGGAAGCGGACAAAAACUAUGGUGAAGUGGGGUCCACGUCCCGCGCCAGAGCCGCCAGUCUGUCCUGAGCUGCCAGAGCCACCACCCAGACCCUCCCCUAUAGGUUCAGGUUUUGCGGCCAGAGUCCGCACCUUAGGGGGGUACUGUCACGUUCUGACCUUAGUUCCUUUGUUUUGUCUUUGUUUUAGUAUGGUCAGGGCCUGAGUUGGGGGGGCAGUCUAUGUUUGUUUUUCUAUGUUGGUUUUUGUGUUCGGCCUAGUAUGGUUCUCAAUCAGAGGCAGGUGUCGUUAGUUGUCUCUGAUUGAGAAUAUACUUAGGUAGCCUUUUUCCACCUGGGUUUCGUGGGUGUUUAUUUCCUGUUUAGUGUUUGUCAUUCACCUUACGGGACUGUUCUUUUGUUGCUUAUUGUUUUUGUUCAGUGUUCAUUUUGCUUCAUUAAAUUAUGGACACUUACCACGCUGCGUUUUGGACCUCCGAUCCUUCUUGCUUCUCCUCCUCAGAAAAGGAGGACGAGGUUCCUUACAAAAUGGCCCCAGGUGGUAGCUUCUCAGACCGAUCUGGAGAGAGUGGAGUGCAACUUGACCAAAAAAAAGAACAUUAGAAAUUGUUGUCCACAGAACAAACAUACUAAUUUACCCAUGAUACAUUUCAAUUUAGAUUGAAUAUGAAAUACUGUAUUGGACAGCCUGGAAACAUUGUUAUUUAUUUCAGAUUUUAAAAAAAAUGUACAUCUGGGACAUAAAUCAACCAGAAAACAUAUCAGUAAUAACAUAUCCAACAACAAUUUCAUGGCAGGAAAUAAGAGUUUCCCUGCGAAACAGAAUUGAGCAAAGAGGACCUAAAAAUGCGUAUUAAACACAAUCCUUACAUUAUGCAUCUUGAGUACUUUCUGAAUUCUUUCUGAACUUUCUCAAUUUGGAUAGAAAUCUGUGUAAUUUCCCCCACACUUCAGAGAAAAUAUAUGUUAGCCGACAUAGUAAAAAAAGCCAUUUAAAAGCCAGAAGGACAAGAAAUUGAGCUAAUGUGUGAACAUCAACAAUCUUUGCUCACAGUGAUAUGAAUGUAUAAAAACUUGAGUCGAAUGACUAAUUCAUGUGUGCCCUUGGAAGGCAACACUGUAUGUUGGUUCAGCUAUAUGCCCGAAUGUUGAGAAAACACACAAAGCUAUUGCAGCCUUACAGCUGUAUGGUGAAUCAACAAACUCUGCUCAAAGUAAGCUGAAUUUGAACAAGCUUGUUGAGUAAAAUUACAAAUGUAUGUUUGCUCAAUACUACUCAAAACCAUUUCCCAGCAUGCUCUAUCGCAGGUUGAUUUUCAGAAUUGUUUGUUUCAAUACCUGUGUUUUUGCAUUGAUUGGUUGAUUAAUCUUAUAAUCUUAUGCUACAAAAACAUAAAUAACAUAAAUGUUUCUAAACUUAUCCAAGCUGUUAGUAGUCUUAAUAAUUCAUCUUCCAUACGGCUACCCUGGCCAUCAUUCUCAAUGCAGUUUGCGGGUAAAUAAAUGUUCCAAUUGUUGGAUAUCCUCACUCUGGCUGGAUUCUAAAACGGAUUAAACAAAAUUUUGCAAGCCAGAAUGUGACUUGCAGGCUUAAUACAGCCUAUAAACCAGGAGUUUCAGACCACUGUGUUAGGGUGUAACUAGGCCCUCAAAGAAAAGCCUUAUGAUAUAUGUAAUGUAUUGUCAUAAAGCGUUUAAUUUUACACUGGGAAAUAUGCAAACAAUUGUAUGUUGAAUCAACUGGAAUGCAAUUUUGUUGAGCAAACUCGCCAUCCUGUUGCAGCUGAAUAAACAUAAUUACAGUCUACUUCAUGGUCUAAUUAUUUUUCUCCAUCUCUCAUUUAUCUCUCUUUCCUUUCCCUCCCCUGCAUUCCUCUCACUUUACCCCUGCCUCUCCAACUUCUCA